This 98-nucleotide ribosomal RNA is filed under the name Burmannia bicolor. Its description in RNAcentral is "partial 5.8 ribosomal RNA". It matches the Rfam family "5.8S ribosomal RNA", at positions 62 to 154 of the family's 154-position model. Rfam says of the family: 5.8S ribosomal RNA (5.8S rRNA) is a component of the large subunit of the eukaryotic ribosome. It is transcribed by RNA polymerase I as part of the 45S precursor that also contains 18S and 28S rRNA. The record is from RNAcentral. Lineage: Eukaryota; Viridiplantae; Streptophyta; Magnoliopsida; Dioscoreales; Burmanniaceae.
UUGGUGUGAAUUGCAGAAUCCCGUGAACCAUCAAGUCUUUGAACGCAAGUUGCGCCCGAGGCCUCUCGGUUGCGGGCACGCCUGCCUGGGCGUCACAC